UUUUUUUUUUUUUAAUGUAAGUUUUAGGGUACAUGUGCACAACGUGCAGGUUAGUUACAUAUGUAUACAUGUGCCAUGUUGGUGUGCUGCACCCACUAACUCGUCAUUUAACAUUAGGUAUAUCUCCUAAUGCUAUCCCUUCCCCCGAGUUUCACUUUUGUCACCCAGGCUGGAAUGCAGUGGUGCAAUCUUGGCUCACUGCCACCUCCACCUCCAGGGUUCAAAUGAUUCUCCUGCCUCAGCCUCCUGAAUAGCUGGGAUUAUAGGCAUGCACCACCACGCCCGGCUAAUUUUUGUAUUUUUAGUAGAAAUGGGGUUUCACAAUGUUGGCCAGACUGGUCUUGAACUCCUGACCUCAGGUGAUCCACCAGCCUCGGCCUCCCAAAGUGCUGGAAUUACAGGUGUGAGUCACCGUACCCGGCCACCAUCUUUGCUUCUUUAUCCACACCUUGCCUUGUUCUUCAGGGCUCUGCAGAGAUAUCAUUUCCUCCAAGAGUUUCCACAACUCCGACUUCACAAAGAUAGCACUUUUUUUUUUUUUUUUGAGACAGUCUCACUCUGUAGCCCAAGCUGGCGUGCAGUGGCACAAUCUCAGCUCACUGCAACCUUCGCCUCUGGGGCUCAAGCGAUUCUCCUUCCUCAGCCUCCCAAGUAGCUGGGACUAGAGGCGCGCGCCACCACACCCGGUUAAUUUUUUUUGCAUCUUUAGUAGAGGUAGGGUUUCAUCAUGUUGCCCUGGGUGGUCUCAAACUCCUGAGUUCAGGUGAUCCCCCCGCCUUGGCCUCUCAAAGUGCUAGGAUUACAGGCGUGAGCCACUGCGCCCAGCCAAGACAACACUUUCCUCAUCCCAAAGCACCUGUUAAUUCCCUGUAACAGCACUUGAACCCUGAUUCGGCAUGCAUGUCCAUUUUCCUGCCUCUACCGUGAACUCGUGUGAAUUGAUCUAUGUCAGAUUUAGUGGCUGCAUUCACAGCUCCCGCAACUAUAACGGGGUUCUCGGGAAAUAUAUAUCAAAUGAGUGAAUGUAUAUACGGGGCUGUGGCACAGCCUGCAACUUGAGACUUCUCACUAGGGGUCUUGAAAUGCUGUCUGGACACCACCAUCGCUUUCCUCCCUGAGAACUUCUACUUAUCAACCCAUUUAUAUACUCAUCGCAUGGGUCCUCACGCCCUCCCA
Molecule: long non-coding RNA, 1176 nt
Filed under: Homo sapiens (human)
Lineage: Eukaryota; Metazoa; Chordata; Mammalia; Primates; Hominidae
Description: HSALNT0262362
Source: RNAcentral